UACCAGCACCCCGAGUGGUCGGGACGAUUAUUGGGCCUAAAGCAUCCGUAGCCGGCCUUACAAGUCCUCCGUUAAAUCCAGCUGCUUAACAGAUGGGCUGCGGAGGAUACUAUAAGACUAGGAGGCAGGAGAGGCAAGCGGUACUCAGUGGGUAGGGGUAAAAUCCGUUGAUCCAUUGAAGACCACCAGUGGCGAAGGCGGCUUGCCAGAAUGCGCUCGACGGUGAGGGAUGAAAGCUGGGGGGAGCAAACCGG
RNAcentral lists this ribosomal RNA (254 nucleotides) under uncultured bacterium. RNAcentral's name for it is "partial 16S ribosomal RNA". It matches the Rfam family "Archaeal small subunit ribosomal RNA", at positions 474 to 727 of the family's 1478-position model. The record is from RNAcentral.